UUUGUGAUUUUGAAUACAGGCCUUCAAUC
RNAcentral lists this small RNA (29 nucleotides) under Bombyx mori (domestic silkworm). RNAcentral describes it as "ovarian small RNA-38430". Lineage: Eukaryota; Metazoa; Arthropoda; Insecta; Lepidoptera; Bombycidae. The record is from RNAcentral.